RNAcentral lists this ribosomal RNA (454 nucleotides) under uncultured bacterium. RNAcentral's name for it is "bacterial SSU rRNA". It matches the Rfam family "Bacterial small subunit ribosomal RNA", at positions 340 to 786 of the family's 1533-position model. The record is from RNAcentral.
UACGGAAAGGCAGCAGUGGGGAAUAUUGCACAAUGGGCGCAAGCCUGAUGCAGCCAUGCCGCGUGUAUGAAAAAGGCCUUCGGGUUGUAAAGUACUUUCAGUCGUGAGGAAGGUGUUAAGGUUAAUAACCUUAGCAAUUGACGUUAGCGACAGAAGAAGCACCGGCUAACUCCGUGCCAGCAGCCGCGGUAAUACGGAGGGUGCGAGCGUUAAUCGGAAUUACUGGGCGUAAAGGGCACGCAGGCGGUUAAUUAAGUUGGAUGUGAAUCCCCGGGCUUAACCUGGGAAUGGCAUUCAAGACUGGUUAGCUAGAGUCUUGUAGAGGGGGUAGAAUUCCAUGUGUAGCGGUGAAAUGCGUAGAGAUGUGGAGGAAUACCGGUGGCGAAGGCGGCCCCUGGACAAAGACUGACGCUCAUGUGCGAAAGCGUGGGGAGCAAACGAGGGAUUAGAUACC